AUAAUCGAUUAUUUUCAAAGAAUAAUCGAUUAUGUGAUGCUUCUGUUUUGCAAAAUUUUGGUGAACUUUAAAAAUUAUUCCAGGACCUUUUGCGGCGACGAACGUAGCCACUAAACCCAUAAAAGUCGCCGCUAAAUGUAUUAGUCGCGACUAUGUAUUGAAACUGAAAACUGGAGUUGCCGUCACUGAAGGUUAUUUGUAGCAACAAUUCCUUGUUUAAGUUUCUUGUUGUUCAACAACCAAAAAUUUUGCAAACUUCAAUAUUUCAAUUCAUAUAGAGAUAACAAGAUAUUGAAACACCAAAGUUCAUCAACAACAUAACAUUCAUGAAAUCAUUUUGGUGAACUUUAAAAAUUAUUCCAGGACCUUUUGCGGCGACGAAUGUCGCCACUAAACCCAUAGAAGCCGCCGCUAAAUGUAUUAGUGGCGACUAUGUAUUGAAACUGAAAACUGGAGUUGCCGUCACUGAAGGUUAUUUGUAGCAACAAUUCCUUGUUUAAGUUUCUUGUUGUUCAACAACCAAAAUU
RNAcentral lists this long non-coding RNA (527 nucleotides) under Nicotiana benthamiana. RNAcentral describes it as "long non-coding RNA (NBEN_LNC017411)". Lineage: Eukaryota; Viridiplantae; Streptophyta; Magnoliopsida; Solanales; Solanaceae. The record is from RNAcentral.